AUUAGAUACCCUGGUAGUCCACGCCCUAAACGAUGUUAACUAGUUGUUGGGAAGUAAUAUUCUCAGUAACGCAGCCAACGCGAGAAGUUAACCGCCUGGGAAGUACGGUCGCAAGACUAAAACUCAAAGGAAUUGACGGGGACCCGCACAAGCGGUCGAUGAUGUGGAUUAAUUAGAUGCAACGCGAAAAACCUUACCUACCCUUGACAUGUCAGGAAGCUCUCGUAAUGAGAGCGUGCCCGCAAGGGAGCCUGAACACAGGUGCUGCAUGGCAGUCGUCAGCUCGUGUCGUGAGAUGUUGGGUUAAGUCCCGCAACGAGCGCAACCCUUAUCCUUAGUAGCCAGCAUGAAAGAUGGGAACUCUGGGGAGACUGCCGGAGACAAUCCGGAGGAAGGUGGGGAUGACGUCAAAUCAUCAUGCCCCUUAUGGCUUGGGCUACACACGUGCUACAAUGGUGGUAACAAAGUGACGCGACCCCGUGAGGGCAAGCCAACCACAAAAAAUCCAUCUCAGUUCGGAUUGUAGUCUGCAAUCCGACUACAUGAAGCUGGAAUCGUUAGUAAUCGAGAAUCAGAAUGUCGCGGUGAAUACGUUCCCGGCUCUUGUACACACCGCCCGUCACACCAUGGGAGUUGGAAAUGCCCGAAGCCGGUGACCGAACCUUAGGGACGGAGCCGUCGAAGGUGGAGCCAAUGACUGGGGUGAAGUCGUAACAAGGUACCAAGGGCGA
This 731-nucleotide ribosomal RNA is filed under the name uncultured bacterium. Its description in RNAcentral is "bacterial SSU rRNA". It matches the Rfam family "Bacterial small subunit ribosomal RNA", at positions 777 to 1508 of the family's 1533-position model. The record is from RNAcentral.